GGCUGCGCAACGCUGGAGGGCGAUGGGAGCUCCACACAGGUGGGACGAGCCUAGCAGUGAUGCUGCCGGGAGUUAAAGGAGGCCAGGAGCACCAGAAGCUGGAGGAGGCCGGGGUGGAUUCUCCCCUGGAGGCUUCAGUGGGAGCACGGGCUCCCGACACUUCGGUUCCAUCUCUUGUUUAAAGGCACCUAGUUUCUCGUCAUUUGUUACAGCACCCUGGAAAACCCACACACAAGUGAAUCCCCGACCCACCUCCCAAGUGCCCAUCUGAGCACCCCUCGUGGACUCUGAGCAGGGGGUGGCCACCAUCAACUCCAAGUCUUGCAGCCCCUCUUCCCUUCAGUCUGGCUGCCACCUUCUUCAUUGCCCUGGAAAAAAAUAAUGAAGUUUCACCAUUUAAAGGGUUUCAGUGCAGCUUGCUAUGGGAACACUGGAGAGUAACACAAAUGGCCAAUUGUCCUAAUAGCCACCAUGGAUUGGAUGGAUGCUAACAACAGGCGCAGAGUUCUCCAUCUGUUGCCUCCUUUUAUCCACAUGAGAAUAAAACAAUAUCUUCCAGGAAUCUAAAAAUGUGUGUGAGAUUUCACCAGUAAAAGCUGAGUUAUUCUGAAUCUGUGUUUUCCUGACGAUUUUUCUUUGUGUGGUCAGCCUUCUUGGAAAAAUCCAGAAGCCACCAUGAACUUACAACCUUGCAUGAAUAAAUGUAAUAUUUUGUUUGGA
Molecule: long non-coding RNA, 720 nt
Filed under: Pan troglodytes (chimpanzee)
Lineage: Eukaryota; Metazoa; Chordata; Mammalia; Primates; Hominidae
Description: lincRNA
Source: RNAcentral